This 104-nucleotide small nuclear RNA is filed under the name Dasypus novemcinctus (nine-banded armadillo). The record is from RNAcentral. Lineage: Eukaryota; Metazoa; Chordata; Mammalia; Cingulata; Dasypodidae.
GUGCUUGCUUCAGCAUAUAAACUAAAAUUGGAACAAUAAAGAGAAGACUAGCACGGCCCUUACACAAGGAUAAUGUGCAAAUUCAUGAAGCAUUUCAUAUUUUC